UAAUACUCCAUAGAUUAGAGACACUGGAAUGUUCUUUAGUCGAAAGUUCUGGCGCCUUAGGAUGGAUCUGCGGUCGAUUAGGUUGUUGUUGGGGUAACGGCCCAACAAGCCUGUAAUCGAUACGGGUUGUGGGAGCAAGAGCCCGGAGAUGGAAUCUGAGACACGAUUCCAGGCCCUACGGGGCGCAGCAGGCGCGAAAACUUUACAAUGCAGGAAACUGUGAUAAGGGAACUCCGAGUGCCCGUAUACGCGGGCUGUCCAGGUGUUUAAAAAUCAUCUGAAGAAAGGGCCGGGCAAGACCGGUGCCAGCCGCCGCGGUAAUACCGGCGGCUCGAGUGGUGGCCACUAUUAUUGGGCUUAAAGCGUCCGUAGCUGGACCGAUAAGUCUCUUGGGAAAUCCGCCGGCUCAACCGGCGGGCGUCUAAGGGAUACUGUUAGUCUAGGGACCGGGAGAGGUGAGAGGUACUCCGGGGGUAGGAGUGAAAUCCUGUAAUCCCCGGGGGACCACCGAUGGCGAAGGCAUCUCACCAGAACGGCUCCGACAGUGAGGGACGAAAGCUGGGGGAGCGAACCGGAUUAGAUACCCGGGUAGUCCCAGCCGUAAACUAUGCGCGCUAGGUGUAC
This 624-nucleotide ribosomal RNA is filed under the name uncultured archaeon. RNAcentral describes it as "bacterial SSU rRNA". It matches the Rfam family "Archaeal small subunit ribosomal RNA", at positions 147 to 776 of the family's 1478-position model. The record is from RNAcentral.